RNAcentral lists this ribosomal RNA (253 nucleotides) under uncultured bacterium. Its description in RNAcentral is "partial 16S ribosomal RNA". It matches the Rfam family "Bacterial small subunit ribosomal RNA", at positions 524 to 776 of the family's 1533-position model. The record is from RNAcentral.
UACGAAGGGGGCUAGCGUUGUUCGGAAUCACUGGGCGUAAAGCGCACGCAGGCGGCUCGUUAAGUCAGGGGUGAAAUCCCGGGGCUCAACCCCGGAACUGCCUUUGAUACUGGUAGUCUCGAGUCCGGAAGAGGUGAGUGGAAUUCCGAGUGUAGAGGUGAAAUUCGUAGAUAUUCGGAGGAACACCAGUGGCGAAGGCGGCUCACUGGUCCGGUACUGACGCUGAGGUGCGAAAGCGUGGGGAGCAAACAGG